This 581-nucleotide unclassified non-coding RNA is filed under the name Hevea brasiliensis (rubber tree). The record is from RNAcentral. Lineage: Eukaryota; Viridiplantae; Streptophyta; Magnoliopsida; Malpighiales; Euphorbiaceae.
AUACGCCGUGCCCCUUCCCGCUCAUAAAGCUGUCUUGGUGAGUCGCUCCCCAGUUUUCAGAGCUAUGCUUGAGAAUGAAAUGGAAGAAAGUCGUAGUGGUACCAUAAAGAUCAGCGACGUUUCAUUCGAUGCCCUCCGCGCCUUUGUUAAUUACUUGUACACAGCAGAAGCCUGUCUUGAUGAGCAAAUGGCUUAUGACCUUUUAGUUUUGGCUGAGAAGUACGAAGUGAAGCAUCUGAAGGCACAUUGCGAGAAGUUCCUAAUAUCAAAACUGAACUGGGACAACUCGAUCAUGAAUUACGUCUUUGCACACCAGCACAAUGGCAAGCAUAUGGUCGAUGCAGCUUUGUCGGUGAUUAUCGACAACAUGGACAAGUUUACCAAAAGGGAGGAGUAUAUGGAACUCGUCAAGAAGGAUCCACAGCUGGUCGUGGAAAUCUAUGAAGCUUACAUGUGUAAACAGGUAAAUACUGCUGCUUGUAAGGAUUGUUCUGUGAAAUAAAAUUGAAGUAGAUCUUAUAGUCAUUGUGAUUUGCUUUGUGUGCGUGCAAGAACUGUUUUGAUACUUUGCUUUAAGAUGA